Non-coding RNA from Potamilus streckersoni, 73 nucleotides. Lineage: Eukaryota; Metazoa; Mollusca; Bivalvia; Unionida; Unionidae. The record is from the annotation of a GenBank genome assembly.
GCUUUGGUGGUCUAGUGGUCAGAGUGUCCGCCUCGGAUGCGGGACAUCGCGGGUUCGAACACCGGCCGAAUCA